GCACAGGUAGUUCAGAGGUAGAAUUCUUGCCUUCCAUGCAGGAGACCUGGGUUUGAUUCCGUCUGUCUG
RNAcentral lists this transfer RNA (69 nucleotides) under Loxodonta africana (African savanna elephant). It matches the Rfam family "tRNA". From Rfam's summary of the family: Transfer RNA (tRNA) molecules are approximately 80 nucleotides in length. Their secondary structure includes four short double-helical elements and three loops (D, anti-codon, and T loops). Lineage: Eukaryota; Metazoa; Chordata; Mammalia; Proboscidea; Elephantidae. The record is from Rfam by way of RNAcentral.